UACGGGGGGGGCAAGCGUUGUUCGGAAUUACUGGGCGUAAAGGGCUCGUAGGCGGCCAACUAAGUCAGACGUGAAAUCCCUCGGCUUAACCGGGGAACUGCGUCUGAUACUGGAUGGCUUGAGUUUGGGAGAGGGAUGCGGAAUUCCUGGUGUAGCGGUGAAAUGCGCAGAUAUCAGGAGGAACACCGGUGGCGAAGGCGGUGGUCUGGGCCGGCACUGACGCUGAGGAGCGAAAGCGUGGGUAGCAAACAGG
RNAcentral lists this ribosomal RNA (253 nucleotides) under uncultured bacterium. RNAcentral describes it as "partial 16S ribosomal RNA". It matches the Rfam family "Bacterial small subunit ribosomal RNA", at positions 524 to 776 of the family's 1533-position model. The record is from RNAcentral.